This 639-nucleotide ribosomal RNA is filed under the name Shewanella sp. RNAcentral's name for it is "bacterial SSU rRNA". It matches the Rfam family "Bacterial small subunit ribosomal RNA", at positions 365 to 996 of the family's 1533-position model. The record is from RNAcentral. Lineage: Bacteria; Pseudomonadati; Pseudomonadota; Gammaproteobacteria; Alteromonadales; Shewanellaceae.
UGCACAAUGGGCGAAAGCCUGAUGCAGCCAUGCCGCGUGUGUGAAGAAGGCCUUCGGGUUGUAAAGCACUUUCAGCGAGGAGGAAAGGUUAACGGUUAAUACCCGUUAGCUGUGACGUUACUCGCAGAAGAAGCACCGGCUAACUUCGUGCCAGCAGCCGCGGUAAUACGAGGGGUGCAAGCGUUAAUCGGAAUUACUGGGCGUAAAGCGUACGCAGGCGGUUUGUUAAGCGAGAUGUGAAAGCCCCGGGCUCAACCUGGGAACUGCAUUUCGAACUGGCAAACUAGAGUCUUGUAGAGGGGGGUAGAAUUUCAGGUGUAGCGGUGAAAUGCGUAGAGAUCUGAAGGAAUACCGGUGGCGAAGGCGGCCCCCUGGACAAAGACUGACGCUCAGGUACGAAAGCGUGGGGAGCAAACAGGAUUAGAUACCCUGGUAGUCCACGCCGUAAACGAUGUCUACUCGGAAUUUGGUGUCUUGAACACUGGGUUCUCAAGCUAACGCAUUAAGUAGACCGCCUGGGGAGUACGGCCGCAAGGUUAAAACUCAAAUGAAUUGACGGGGGCCCGCACAAGCGGUGGAGCAUGUGGUUUAAUUCGAUGCAACGCGAAGAACCUUACCUACUCUUGACAUCCUCAGAAC